This 396-nucleotide unclassified non-coding RNA is filed under the name Hevea brasiliensis (rubber tree). The record is from RNAcentral. Lineage: Eukaryota; Viridiplantae; Streptophyta; Magnoliopsida; Malpighiales; Euphorbiaceae.
CAGGAAGUUAGGGCAACAAGUUGCAAAGCAUAAGCAAAAAUGAGCCGUGGAGCAGCCGCAUCCGGUGGCCCGAAGGGGAAGAAGAAGGGCGUGACCUUCGUCAUCGAUUGUGCGAAGCCAGUCGAGGACAAGAUCAUGGACAUCGCCUCGUUGGAGAAGUUUCUUCUCGAGAGGAUCAAGGUUGGCGGUAAAGCUGGCGCACUUGGUGACUCGGUUACCGUCACUCGAGACAAGAACAAGAUCACCGUCAACUCCGAUAGCAAUUUCUCCAAGAGGUAUCUCAAAUACUUGACUAAGAAGUAUUUGAAGAAACACAACGUUAGAGAUUGGCUUCGGGUUAUUGCUUCAAACAAGGAUCGAAAUGUCUAUGAAUUGAGAUACUUCAAUAUUGCCGAG